GCUGGCUCCCAGAAGAGGAACCUGCUGCAGGCGCCGGCGCGGGCGGCGAGGACGACCUGUUUUUCUGACCCAGCCCGGAAGCGCUGGUGCAGGUGGCCUUGAGCUUCCUUUUUUCUUCUCGCUGUGGAAAUUGCCUGGAAAGCUAUGAACUGUUGGUUCUUGAAUCAGUUGGCUGCCCCGGAUGUCUGAAUCCCUUGGAAGGAACCUGGAGGAGUUGGCUGAUGGGCUCCAGGUGCUACCGGAUCACCCUAACAACCCUCUGGGACCUGUGGCCAUGUGUUCACAACAGCAGCCAUUACAGGUGUUUCCUGAACUCUUGUCGCGAGCCUCUGUCGGCUCCAUCUCAUCGAUCCUCCCAGCAACCCACAAGGAAGCUUCACAGAGAGGCAGAUGCCACACAGGCCACCCACCCAGAUGCAGAGCCAGAUUCCCUGCGUGGACUGGACGGGAGUUUCCCAGCUGGAGUUCUCUCGGCCAAGCUGCCUGUGACAUGGGGUUGGAGGUGCUCCAGAGAGUCAUGGCCACCCCUGGAGGAAGUGACUUGUGGCUGACUGCUCAAGGGGAAGUCCUGUGGCAGUGGAGUCGUCAGCAUUAAUUCAAAUAAGAUCUCUCCCUGCACACAAUCUGCUUUCGUGUUCCUGAUGGAUUGAAUCAAGAGUGAAUGAGCUCCUACUUCGCGAAAGCAAAACAAACUAAACGCAUCAACCACGACCGCAGAGCCCCCAUCUCUCCCAGGAGGGUGAGCCCAUGUUGUGUUUUCAUUUGUCAGAAAUCUAUCUUAGGAAGCCAUUCCUGAGAUCUGUUCUAAUUUAGGCCAUUUUUAAAAAAAAUAAUGCAGUUGAUUCUU
Molecule: long non-coding RNA, 847 nt
Organism: Homo sapiens (human)
Lineage: Eukaryota; Metazoa; Chordata; Mammalia; Primates; Hominidae
Product: long intergenic non-protein coding RNA 1814
Source: Ensembl